Molecule: long non-coding RNA, 4033 nt
Filed under: Homo sapiens (human)
Lineage: Eukaryota; Metazoa; Chordata; Mammalia; Primates; Hominidae
Description: HSALNT0195442
Source: RNAcentral
UGGCAACAGAGAGCACUGAGCCAAGUACAGGGUCCUUCUAGGCAGGCGUCCUUCUUAGCACAGGGGUCCUGUGUGACCACACAGGUCAUGCAUUUGGAAGGUGGAUCUAUCUGGGGCUUUGGGGUAGAGAAAUGAACAAAUCUGAACAAAAACAUCUGCCAGUGAGGACUUCCCACCUUAAUGGAAGAAGACAGUCGAUGCCACAUGUUUGAACACUCACAAGGAAACACAGAGAGCCAGAAGACAGUGAAAUGAACGGGCUGUCAUGUCCCCCAGCUACCACGGAUUGGCUCAGUGAAGAGAGGCUGUGGUCACCUCUGCAUGGUUUCCUGGUACAAACACAAAUUUCCUUUCCUCUGGCUGCAUUCCUAAAAUUAAUUAAAUCUUGGCUCAAGAAGGCUUCUUCAUGCCAGCAAGGUAGGCACCCAAGUAGGCCAUGAUUGGUCCCUUCUGACCAUUUAUCGAAGGGCAGCCUUCCAAAACUCAAGGCCAGAUAAGUGAUGCAGCAAGAGAGCCACACCCUACAACUUACCACCAGACCUCAAUUUUUCCACAUGAGAAAUGGAAUUUUUGCAACCAAAAGCACCCAGGAAUUAGUGUCUAACAGAAAGCACUCAGUCCCAGCAUCCCUGCCUACCCAUUCCCAACCCCAAAGACUGGAUCGCUGUGUGCAUUUCUUUUCUUUUUCUUUUUCCUUUUUUUUUUUUCUUUGAGAUGGAGUCUCGCUCUGUCACCCAAGCUGGAGUGCAAUGGCGCAAUCUUGGCUCUCACUGCAACCUCUGCCUCCCGGGUUCAAGUGAUUCUCCUGCCUCAGCCUCCUGAGUAGCUGGGAUUACAGGUGCCCACCACCACACUCGCCUUGCACAUUUCUUUUGUAGGAUAUAUGGCCACUGCUGAAAGGCAGUUUGUGCAAUUAUUUGUUAAGGAUCAAAUGGUGAAGAUGUAGGCCCCUAGCGUGCUCCUGCCUGAGUUGGUAUCCCAGCUGCGUCACUUAAUCAGUCUGUGCCUCAGUGUCCUCUCCUGCCAAAUGAGCAUAAUAGUAGCACCAGCCUUCUAGGGCUGUUGUGAAGAUUAAAUGGAUUCACAUAGAUGAAGCCCAGGGAUCUGAUGGAUACAUUGUAAGAUACAUUAGAAGGAAACAGUAGCUGUUAGCUUUUUAAAAUGGUUACUGUCUCCCGUUUGGAGAUGGGGCUAUUGAAAGGGAAAGACAGAGAAAUCAAAUAGGCAGCCCGUGAUGAAAUCUGCAUAGGAAUUCAGGUCUCUGUGGCUGGCAUUUAACCUUCUCAAAUUCUGGGUGGAUCUUGGAGGUGUGCAUGUUCCCGUGUUCGUUUCUCAUUGUACUCUUUUAUGCUCAGGGCCUCUCCAUUUUCAAACUACAGGAUCUGAUCUCAGGGCUCUGGAUUACCCAGAGGAAGGACAGGCUGAAUGGGCACCUCCUUCUCCACGGGAAGAAGCCAUGGAUGCCUCAUCCUCUGGCCCAGCCUAGGCUGGGAACCCUCCAGACCUACCCCAUUUAGAGCCCCCAGGGGCCCCAGGCUCCUCCCUGCUCACAUCUUCCUGCUAAGUCUUGGUCAAACUUAUCUCCUCUGCCCUGUAUUUUAAUUUUUCAAAGUCCAGGUUUUUUCUCUGUCUUUCUCUCAUUAUUUAAGGCUCGGUCUGACCUUUCCCCCUCCACUGUCUUCCUUUCAUUCAGCUUCCUAUCCAAAUACAAGCUUUCCACACACCCACAGACUCUGUGUUCUCAAGUCUGGACUCCCACACUUGUUCAGCUCAUAACCAGCACGAGUACACAUCCCAUAUAGGUAUCUACUCUGCACCAAUAGGCAUACUGCAUGCACCGUGUGCACAUCUCCAUGAUCACCCAUGCUGGCAAUGUGUGCUAAACCCGUGCAUGCCUGCCGAGCACACCCACAGAGUGAACACACAUGGGCACACACAUGCACAUACAUAAGAAUGUCACUAUAGUAGCUAACAUUAAUUGAAUGUUUACUACAUGCUAGGGACUUUUCUAUGAAAUACCUUCUCUAGUCCUCACCACAACUCAUGAAAGAGGUAGGAUAAUCAUCUCCAUUUUACAGAUGAGGAAACUGAGGCUCAGAAAGGUUAAGUAACUUGCCCAAGAUCACACAGCUAGAAAGUGACAGAGAUGAGAAGACUGAAUGCAGAGAAGCUCAAGGUCAAAAGCAAGGUCAGCCUGUACUGAGUAUGAGCACACACACAUCCCAUGUUCUAUUUCUUGUGCUCAGUCUGCAAAGCUGGAACAUGUUCCUAAUUCCCACGCACUCUGGCUGAGUGCUCACAUGGAAUGCACGUGUGCCCAUGAGCUCACGUUUACAUCUGAGUGUAGGUGCCCUGGCACAUACCACCCCCCCACACACACACAGUGGCCUCUGUAACAUGCCCACACACUCAGCUUGCAGAUAGACACCCUAUCACGCUGCUCUGCACUGUGAAAAGCUACCCUGCCCACAGGCAACCGCUAUAACGUACAGACAAGAUGCCUCCUUCCUGUUCACUCAGCAAGCACACACAAUCGAUGGGAUAGAAUGCUGGCAUGUGUCCUCCCCCAACAAAGCUUAGGGUGGUGCAAAGAGGCAGGGGCUGGUGAUCGGGGCAUCCAAUUGGUAGCCCCACAUCUGCCUCGGGUUUCUCAGGGCCCCCAGUCUUCCCAUGUGUAAAAUAAAAGGCGUCAGCCACCGCUUCACAUUUUUUAGGUAAAUUCAUUUAAAGGUGAAAUUCACAACAUAGUUCUUACUGGAAAACCAGUAUCACUUGUCAAAAAAGUAACUACAAAAAAAGCAGCAAGUCAAAAAAGUGACAAGACAAUGCAUAGAAUGGGAGAAAUUAUUUGCAAAUCAUGCAUCUGAUGAGGGAAUUGUAUCAGAAGAUAUAGAGAUCUCUUACAACUAACUCAAUAAUACAAAGGACAAAGACCCCAAUUUAAAAAACGGGCAGGCCGGGCGCGAUGGCUCAAGCCUGUAAUCCCAGCACUUUGGGAGGCCGAGGCAGACAGAUCAUGAGGUCAGGAGAUCGAGACCAAGCUGGCUAACACGGUGAAACCCCAUCUCUACUAAAAAUACAAAAAAAAUUAGCCAGGCGUGGUGGCGGGCAACUGUAGUCCCAGUUACUUGGGAAGCUGAGGCAGGAGAAUGGCGUGAACCUGGGAGGUGGAGCUUGCAGUGAGCCGAGAUCGCACCACUGCACUCCAGCCUGGCAACAGAGUGAGACUCCGUCUCAAAAAAAAAAAAAAAAAAAAAAAAAAAGGCAAAGGACCUGAAUAGAUAUCUUUCCGAAGAGAUUAUACAAAUGGCCAAUAAUCACAUGAAAAGAUGCUCGGCCAUUAGGAAAAUGCGAACCAAAACCACAAGGGAAGAACAUUUCAUAUCCAUUAAGAGGGCUGUGAUCAAAAAGACAAAUAAAAAGUUUAGGGAGAAUGUGGAAAAGUUGGAGACCUCCUCUACCACUGGUGAGAAUGGAAAAUGGUACAGCCACUAUGGAAAACUGUCAGUUUCUCAAAUGGUGAUGACCCAGCAAUUCCUCUCCUAGCAUAUACCCCAAGAUAAAUAAAAACAUACAUUCACACACCCAAAUUAAUUGUAUACAAAUGGUCAUAGCAGCAUUAUUCAUAAUAGCAAAAAAAAAGUAGAAAGCCAAAUGUCAUUAGCUGAAUAAACAGAACGUGGUUUAUUCACGCAAUGGGAUAUGAUUUCACCAUAAAAUGGACUGAGGCAUGGACACAUGCCCCAACAUGGAUUAACCUUGAAAAAAUGAUGCUAAGUGAAAGAAGCCUUGUAUUAUUCCAUUCAUGUGAAAUGUCCAGAAUGGGAAACCUACAGACACAGAAGGAAAGUAGAUAGUAGAUUAGUGCUUGCCCAGGGUUGGAGGAGAUGGGGGCAGUGGGGGUGAUGGCAGAGAGGCAUCGGAUUUCUUUUAAGGAUGGUGAAAAUAUUCUAAAAUCAAUUGUGGUGAUAGAUGUACAGCUCUGUGAAUAUACUAAAAACCACUGGAUUAUACACCUUAUGCGGGUGAGUUG